GGCAAGAAGGAAAGGGAAGCUGGCGAGGCAGCGCUGGGCUUGAGAGGCGAGGAGCCGUCAAGAGCUAGAGAGGAUGGAGCUGGGGGCGAGAAGAAAGGAAAGUGUCUAGUUAUUGGGACCUGGGGACGAGGUAAAGGAGAGAUGGCCUGUUCUCAGAGGGAAGGCCUGGGUACCCUUGAGCAAAGGUUAUCCUGAAGAGGGUUGGACUUAGAACUGCCCAGCCUGGCAUGCUGGCUUCUGAGUGGAGGGCAGCCUACUGCCCCACGCAGACCUGGUCCUUCCUGCAAAUCCAGAUGAGCCUCUGUGAAGAACACGUGAAGCUACCUUCUGCUCCCAUCAGGCUCAUGCUUGCACUGCAGAUUUCAGUGUCCUUAUAGGAGACAGAAGAAGACACGGGGGAGGAGGCGAUAUGAAGACGCGGCAGAGAGAGGUGUCCACAGCCGAGGAGGCUACGGAAGCCCAGGAUGCCGGCAUCGCGUGAAGCUGGGGGGCAGAGGAGGAGCCCCCCAGAGCCUGUGGAGGGAGUGCGGCCCCGGGACACGUUGAUUUGGGGCUUCGGGCCUCCAGAACUGUGGGAAAAUAAAUUUCUAUUGGUUUAAGCCACUGGCUUGUGGUAACGUGUUACAGCAGGCAUAGGAAACUCAUACAAUCAUUUCAACAAACUUUGGCACAUGUUCUUUCUACAUUCCUAUGAGAAUCAUGCGUUUAACAUAAAGAAAUUUUACUUUGAGAUUUGCCGUUUAUAUUCUAGUGCGUGAUAUUCUUUUCUCUCAUAUUCUUACACUUAUUUUUUGCCUUCCUG
This 802-nucleotide long non-coding RNA is filed under the name Equus caballus (horse). RNAcentral's name for it is "lncRNA (ENSECAG00000056559.1)". The record is from RNAcentral. Lineage: Eukaryota; Metazoa; Chordata; Mammalia; Perissodactyla; Equidae.